RNAcentral lists this ribosomal RNA (526 nucleotides) under uncultured bacterium. RNAcentral describes it as "bacterial SSU rRNA". It matches the Rfam family "Bacterial small subunit ribosomal RNA", at positions 19 to 518 of the family's 1533-position model. The record is from RNAcentral.
CUGGCUCAGGACGAACGCUGGCGGCGUGCCUAAUACAUGCAAGUCGAACGGUCUUUCUAUGGAAGCUUGCUCCACUGAGAAGAUAGUGGCGAACGGGUGAGUAACACGUGGGUAACCUGCCCAUAAGAGGGGGGAUAACAUCCGGAAACGGGUGCUAAUACCGCAUAGUUUUCUUGAUCGCAUGAUCGGGAAAGGAAAGACGGCCUUUGUGCUGUCGCUUAUGGAUGGACCCGCGGCGUAUUAGUUAGUUGGUGAGGUAACGGCUCACCAAGACGAUGAUACGUAGCCGACCUGAGAGGGUGAUCGGCCACAUUGGGACUGAGACACGGCCCAAACUCCUACGGGAGGCAGCAGUAGGGAAUCUUCCGCAAUGGACGAAAGUCUGACGGAGCAACGCCGCGUGAGUGAAGAAAGGUUUUCGGAUCGUAAAACUCUGUUGUCAGAGAAGAACAAGUUGGAGAGUAACUGCUCCAGCCUUGACGGUAUCUGACCAGAAAGCCACGGCUAACUACGUGCCAGCCGCAGC